This is a long non-coding RNA of Passer montanus (Eurasian tree sparrow), 758 nucleotides long. RefSeq lists it as uncharacterized. Lineage: Eukaryota; Metazoa; Chordata; Aves; Passeriformes; Passeridae. The record is from RefSeq and is a predicted model, not a curated record. The transcript has 2 exons.
GGGGGGUUUUGGGGGGGCACGCUGAGCCCCGUGUGUGCCCCCAGGUGCCUUUGAGAUUGAAAUCAACGGGCAGCUGGUGUUCUCCAAGCUGGAGAACGGGGGCUUUCCCUACGAGAAGGACCUGAUCGAGGCCAUCCGCAGAGCCCGCAAUGGGGAGCCCCUGGAGAAAAUCACCAACAGCCGCCCCCCCUGCGUCAUCCUGUAGCCCCCCCAGGGCCAGCAGGCUCCCCCCACGCCUCCCUUAAAUCCCUGCACCCCAGGAGCCUCCUGGGGACCCCCACGGGUGGCACUGGGGGUCAUGCUGUGGGGUGGGGUGGAAUGGGGGGGGUCUCCCACCUGCCUUUGCCUUCCCCCCCUCAUCAGCUGCAGCUCCCUGAGGGGCACGGGGGUGGCACCCCCAUUUCUCUGUGCUGGGGUGUCCCCUUCCUGACCCCCUGGGAAUGUGGGGGGUCUCCCAGGAAGGGGGGAGGCAGCUCCCAGCAGGUUCAUUCCAAGGGGAACCCGCUGGCUCUGGCUGGCCUGGGGUCUGUUAAUGAUUAAAGCCCCCCUGGCACUGUUUAAUCCGGGGCAGGGGCUGCCCGUGGGAAGCCCAGGCUGGCCCCACAGCCACAGGGGGGGUCACAUCCCCCCUCCCCAUUCCCAGCUCCUGCUUCCUGCCUGGAAUGUCCCUGCCCGUGGCCGCGGGGCGGGGGGUCCCCUAUUUAUUCUAUACUGUGUAUAAACCCAACAGCUGGGUGGAAUAAAGGAUGGAGAAUGUG